RNAcentral lists this ribosomal RNA (898 nucleotides) under uncultured bacterium. Its description in RNAcentral is "bacterial SSU rRNA". It matches the Rfam family "Bacterial small subunit ribosomal RNA", at positions 27 to 915 of the family's 1533-position model. The record is from RNAcentral.
GGAUGAACGCUAGCUACAGGCUUAACACAUGCAAGUCGAGGGGAAACGACAUCGAAAGCUUGCUUUUGAUGGGCGUCGACCGGCGCACGGGUGAGUAACGCGUAUCCAACCUGCCCACCACUUGGGGAUAACCUUGCGAAAGUAAGACUAAUACCCAAUGACGUCUCUAGAAGACAUCUGAAAGAGAUUAAAGAUUUAUCGGUGAUGGAUGGGGAUGCGUCUGAUUAGCUUGUUGGCGGGGUAACGGCCCACCAAGGCAACGAUCAGUAGGGGUUCUGAGAGGAAGGUCCCCCACAUUGGAACUGAGACACGGUCCAAACUCCUACGGGAGGCAGCAGUGAGGAAUAUUGGUCAAUGGACGAGAGUCUGAACCAGCCAAGUAGCGUGCAGGAUGACGGCCCUAUGGGUUGUAAACUGCUUUUAUAAGGGAAUAAAGUGAGUCUCGUGAGACUUUUUGCAUGUACCUUAUGAAUAAGGACCGGCUAAUUCCGUGCCAGCAGCCGCGGUAAUACGGAAGGUCCGGGCGUUAUCCGGAUUUAUUGGGUUUAAAGGGAGCGUAGGCCGGAGAUUAAGCGUGUUGUGAAAUGUAGACGCUCAACGUCUGCACUGCAGCGCGAACUGGUUUCCUUGAGUACGCACAAAGUGGGCGGAAUUCGUGGUGUAGCGGUGAAAUGCUUAGAUAUCACGAAGAACUCCGAUUGCGAAGGCAGCUCACUGGAGCGCAACUGACGCUGAAGCUCGAAAGUGCGGGUAUCGAACAGGAUUAGAUACCCUGGUAGUCCGCACGGUAAACGAUGGAUGCCCGCUGUUGGUCUGAAUAGGUCAGCGGCCAAGCGAAAGCAUUAAGCAUCCCACCUGGGGAGUACGCCGGCAACGGUGAAACUCAAAGGAAUUGACG